GGAUUCCCCUAGUAACUGCGAGUGAAGCGGGAAAAGCUCAAAUUUAAAAUCUGGCGGUCUUUGGCCGUCCGAGUUGUAGUCUGGAGAAGUGCUUUCCGCGCUGGACCGUGUAUAAGUCUCUUGGAACAGAGCGUCGUAGAGGGUGAGAAUCCCGUCUUUGACACGGACUACCAGUGCUUUGUGAUGCGCUCUCAAAGAGUCGAGUUGUUUGGGAAUGCAGCUCAAAAUGGGUGGUGAAUUCCAUCUAAAGCUAAAUAUUGGCGAGAGACCGAUAGCGAACAAGUACCGUGAGGGAAAGAUGAAAAGCACUUUGGAAAGAGAGUUAAACAGUACGUGAAAUUGCUGAAAGGGAAACGCUUGAAGUCAGUCGCGUUGUCCGGAACUCAGCCUUGCUUUUGCUUGGUGCACUUUCCGGAUGACGGGUCAGCAUCGAUUUUGACCGUCGGAAAAGGGCUGGAGUAAUGUGGCACCUCCGGGUGUGUUAUAGACUCUGGUCGCAUACGGCGGUUGGGAUCGAGGAACGCAGCGCGCCGCAAGGCAGGGGUUCGCCCACUUUCGCGCUUAGGAUGCUGACAUAAUGGCUUUAAACGACCCGUCUUGAAACACGGACCAAGGAGUCUAACAUACCUGCGAGUGUUUGGGUGGAAAACCCGAGCGCGUAAUGAAAGUGAAAGUUGAGAUCCCUGUCGUGGGGAGCAUCGACGCCCGGACCAGACGUUCUCUGACGGAUCCGCGGUAGAGCAUGUAUGUUGGGACCCGAAAGAUGGUGAACUAUGCCUGAAUAGGGUGAAGCCAGAGGAAACUCUGGUGGAGGCUCGUAGCGAUUCUGACGUGCAAAUCGAUCGUCAAAUUUGGGUAUAGGGGCGAA
RNAcentral lists this ribosomal RNA (868 nucleotides) under Ganoderma gibbosum. RNAcentral describes it as "LSU rRNA". It matches the Rfam family "Eukaryotic large subunit ribosomal RNA", at positions 72 to 927 of the family's 3401-position model. The record is from RNAcentral. Lineage: Eukaryota; Fungi; Basidiomycota; Agaricomycetes; Polyporales; Polyporaceae.